UACACUCCUGCGGGAGGCAGCAGUAGGGAAUCUUCGGCAAUGGGGGCAACCCUGACCGAGCAACGCCGCGUGAGUGAAGAAGGUUUUCGGAUCGUAAAGCUCUGUUGUAAGUCAAGAACGAGUGUGAGAGUGGAAAGUUCACACUGUGACGGUAGCUUACCAGAAAGGGACGGCUAACUACGUGCCAGCAGCCGCGGUAAUACGUAGGUCCCGAGCGUUGUCCGGAUUUAUUGGGCGUAAAGCGAGCGCAGGCGGUUUGAUAAGUCUGAAGUUAAAGGCUGUGGCUCAACCAUAGUUCGCUUUGGAAACUGUCAAACUUGAGUGCAGAAGGGGAGAGUGGAAUUCCAUGUGUAGCGGUGAAAUGCGUAGAUAUAUGGAGGAACACCGGUGGCGAAAGCGGCUCUCUGGUCUGUAACUGACGCUGAGGCUCGAAAGCGUGGGGAGCGAACAGGAUUAGAUACCCUAGUAGUCCCAUGAU
This 478-nucleotide ribosomal RNA is filed under the name uncultured organism. RNAcentral describes it as "partial 16S ribosomal RNA". It matches the Rfam family "Bacterial small subunit ribosomal RNA", at positions 332 to 801 of the family's 1533-position model. The record is from RNAcentral.